UAUUUCAAAACUUAUUUCGAAUUUGGGAAAACUUCCUUGAUGAAAGUUGUAGAGCAUUGAAAUACCUUUCCAACGGUAUCUUACGGGGGUCAAACGGACAUCUGUGCAAGGAGUUAUGGCCAUUUUACUGAAGCGACACAGUGCAGUCCAAAGUGCAGAAUACGGUCCGUAAAUCAAUUUACGGCCCGUAAACUGACUUUACGACCAGCAGUGUUCAGGUCGUAAAUUUCACUUUCACAGAACAAUAUAUAUUCGUCCAUAUCAGUUCAACUCAUUAUUUUUCAUUCCUUCAAACCCUAGAACGACCUCCUACUCUCCUCCAACAUCAAGAACACCAAGGGUUUUCAAGAAAACCCAUCUCAAGAUUCAAGAAUCAAGAUUUGGGAAAUCUUCUCCAAAAUUCAAGUCUUUAAUUCAGGUUUUGGAGCAAUUAAGGGUUUGCAACAUAUUUCCUUCCAAAGUGAUUCAAGCUAGGUUUUGGGUGUUCUUCAAUAGAAAAGUGAAUUGUUAAAUCUUGUUUAACAAAUUAAGGUAACGAAGAAGAGCAGGUUCGUGAUACUUUCGACGCUUAAUAGGACUUGCUACUGCUGUGGAUUUGGUGAGCCCACAUCCUUGUUCGUGGGACACUUUCCGUUUCAUUUAUUAUUCUAGAUUUCCGGGCUGCGUCCCGAAGUUUGACGAUUGUUAUGUCUCUUAGAAGCUCCAUAGAUAGUUGUCAGAAUUGUUGGUAGAUUGUCAAAAGUCUCGUACGACUUAAUGGGUGUUUGCCACGUUGAUGGCCAUUGCUUAUAAAGACUUCCGCUGAUUUAAUUCAUGUGUUACAUUUAAUUUAUAAAUUGUUGGAGGCGAAUAUUGAACCUGGCGGGUUCAAGUAUUAUUAUUAUGUCGUUUAGGUUCUUCCGAUGUUGUUCAUGACGUCGGAUGCCGGUCACGUCUAGGGUGG
Long non-coding RNA from Lycium barbarum (goji berry), 943 nucleotides. RefSeq lists it as uncharacterized. The transcript has 3 exons. The record is from RefSeq and is a predicted model, not a curated record. Lineage: Eukaryota; Viridiplantae; Streptophyta; Magnoliopsida; Solanales; Solanaceae.